CCACUGUACAGGUUAAUCUAGCACCAGCUAGCAUGACAAACAGGUACAUGAUCAGAUACAUGAGUAUGACAAUUAAUGCACUUACGUUGGGCAGAGCGCCUCUUAAAGAACAGCAGUGCAGCAAGGAGUCCAAUGAUCAGAGAGCCUAUGACUGCAACCGGGGCUAGCCAUUUGGUGGUGGAGACAAUAUCCAAGUGGUCACUUUUAAUACCUGGACAGACAAAAUGGACAGAAAUUAGGAGUUACAAAAUAAAUAGGCAAUUCAUAUGAAGUCAAGAGAAAAAGUGUCACGACUUCCGCCGAAGUCGGCCCUUCUCCUUGUUCGGGUGGUGUUCGGCGGUCGACGUCACCGGCUUUCUAGUCACUACCGAUCCAUUUUUCUGUUUCGUUUUGUUUCGUCUGAUUACAUACACACAUGUUUUACAUUCCCUCCUUCUGUUCUGUCCGUGAUUGUUUAUGUCGUUGUGUUCGUGUUAGAGUUUUGUUUUAUGUUCCAUUUUGGAAUUUUGCUUUAUUCUUUAAGUAAAUUCAGUUGGAUUACUCCAUACCUGCGCCUGACUCCGCUUUCACUCUGCACCCAAUCGCUGACAGAAUCACGGACCAUUCAAAUGGAAUCAGCAGGUACAGCCAGCCCUUCUCUCCCAGUAGAGGAGCGAGUUCAGCAGCACGCGACCAUGUUAAACCGGCUAGGGCCAGCCAUGGAUCGCAUGUUGUAAACUAUGGACAGAUGGGAGAGGAGGCUUUCCUGUCAACGCUACUACACCUCCACCCGCGCCUCAACCUACACCGAUGUCCACCCCUCUGUCGUCAAGUCCCCGUGGAAUUCAGGCUCUUGCUCACAGGAGCCAGGGUAUCCUACUCCAGCUGGAGCUCUACCUGGCAGCUCUUCAGCCGGCACCUUCCGGACGUGAGAGAGUGGGCGCUCUCAUCUCCUGCCUGACUGGAAAAGCCCUGGAGUGGGCCAACGCCAUCUGGGGAAGGGAAGGUCCGACUCUGGAUGACUAUGAGGACUUCUCCCUCCGCUUCCAUCUGGGGAAGAGAAGGACCGACUCUGGAUGACUAUGAGGUCUUCUCCCUCCGCUUCCAUCUGGGGAAGGGAAGGACCGACUCUGGAUGACUAUGAGGACUUCUCCCUCCGCUUCCAUCUGGGGAAGAGAAGGACCGACUCUGGAUGACUAUGAGGUCUUCUCCCUCCGCUUCCAUCUGGGGAAGGGAAGGACCGACUCUGGAUGACUAUGAGGACUUCUCCCUCCGCUUCCAUCUGGGGAAGGGAAGGUCCGACUCUGGAUGACUAUGAGGAUUUCUCCAUCCGCUUCCAUCUGGGGAAGGGAAGGUCCGACUCUGGAUGACUAUGAGGACUUCUCCCUCCGCUUCCAUCUGGGGAAGGGAAGGUCCGACUCUGGAUGACUACAGGACUUCUCCCGCCGCUUCCAUCUGGGGAAGGGAAGGACCGACUCUGGAUGACUAUGAGGACUUCUCCCUUUGUUUCAUCUAAGAGUUUGUUUCAUCUAAGAAAGGAGAUGAGGAGCGCUCAAGAGUUCGCACUGGACUUCCGCACUGGACUCUGGCAGCUGGUGCGGGAUGGAAUGAGCGGGCCCUGAUCGACCACUACAGGUGUAGUUUACGUGAGGACGUUCGAAUGGAGCUAGCCUGCAGGGACACUACUCUCAACCUGGACCAGCUGGUGGACUUGUCUAUCCGGCUGGAUAACCUGUUGGCCUCCCGUGGACGUCUGGAUUGGGGUCCGCCCGUUCCAUUACCCAGCACAUUGGAUCCCACACCUAUGGAGCUACGAGGGGGACCGGAGGGGGGACCAUUCCCUGCACCAGCUGUGGCCGCAGAGGGCACACUGCUGGUCGGUGCUGAGGGGGUUCUCCAGGAGGUCGAGGUAGCAGGCGGAGCACUGGUGGGUCAUCCCAGGUGAGUAGGCACACAACUCACCCAAAGCCCCCUGUUGCACACAUGUGGUUACCUGUAGAAUUUCCUGAGUUCUCCCCACAUUCCCAGCAUAAGGAGCUAGUAGAUUCAGGCGCAGCUGGGAACUUUAUUGACCGCUCCUUAGCACAUAGAUUAGGGAUCCCUAUUGUUCCUGUUGAUGUUCCUUUCCCUGUACAUGCCUUAGAUAGUCGUCCUUUGGGGUCAGGGCUAAUUGGCGAGGGGAUUGUGCGAUAGAUCUCUUGGUAGAUGCUGCACAUCCCAGGAGUCAUGUGUAUCCUCUGUCACAGGAGGAGACGGUGGCUAUGGAGACAUAUGUCACCGAAUCUCUGGGACAGGGAUACAUUCAACCUUCCAUCUCACCUGUCUCCUCAAGUUUAUUUUUUGUGAAGGAUGGAGGUUUGCGCCUGUGUAUUGAUUAUCGAGGUUUAAAUAAGAUCACGGUAAAAUACAGUUACCAGCUAACGCUCAUAGCCAG
Long non-coding RNA from Oncorhynchus tshawytscha (Chinook salmon), 2413 nucleotides. The record is from Ensembl. Lineage: Eukaryota; Metazoa; Chordata; Actinopteri; Salmoniformes; Salmonidae.